GAUGAACGCUGGCGGCGUGCCUAAUACAUGCCAGUCGAGCGAACAGACGAGGAGCUUGCUCCUCUGAUGUUAGCGGCGGACGGGUGAGUAACACGUGGAUAACCUACCUAUAAGACUGGGAUAACUUCGGGAAACCGGAGCUAAUACCGGAUAACAUGUUGAACCGCAUGGUUCAACAGUGAAAGACGGUCUUGCUGUCACUUAUAGCUGGAUCCGCGCCGCAUUAGCUAGUUGGUAAGGUAACGGCUUACCAAGGCAACGAUGCGUAGCCGACCUGAGAGGGUGAUCAGCCACACUGGAACUGAGACACGGUCCAGACUCCUACGGGAGGCAGCAGUAGGGAAUCUUCCGCAAUGGGCGAAAGCCUGACGGAGCAACGCCGCGUGAGUGAAGAAGGUCUUCGGAUCGUAAAACUCUGUUAUUAGGGAAGAACAAAUGUGUAAGUAACUAUGCACGUCUUGACGGUACCUAAUCAGAAAGCCACGGCUAACUACGUG
RNAcentral lists this ribosomal RNA (497 nucleotides) under uncultured bacterium. RNAcentral describes it as "partial 16S ribosomal RNA". It matches the Rfam family "Bacterial small subunit ribosomal RNA", at positions 28 to 507 of the family's 1533-position model. The record is from RNAcentral.